GGUGAGUAACGCGUAUGCAACCUACCUUUGGCACGGGGACAGCCCGGGGAAACCCGGAUUAAUACCCGGUAUAGUCUGUUAUACACCUGUAUAAAAGACGAGAGCUACGGCGGCCAAAGAUGGGCAUGCGUGCCAUUAGUUAGUUGGUAGGGUAACGGCCUACCAAGGCAUCGAUGGCUACGGGGUCUAAAAGGAUGAGCCCGCACACUGGUACUGAGACACGGACCAGACUCCUACGGGAGGCAGCAGUGAGGAAUAUUGGUCAAUGGGUGGAAGCCUGAACCAGCCAUGCCGCGUGCAGGAAGACGGCCUUAUGGGUUGUAAACUGCUUUUCUACGGGACGAACGGCUCUGACGUGUCAGAGAUUGACGGUACCGUAGGAAUAAGCAUCGGCUAACUCCGUGCCAGCAGCCGCGGUAAUACGGAGGAUGCGAGCGUUAUCCGGAUUUAUUAGGUUUAAAGGGUGCGUAGGCUGGGCAAUAAGUCAGUGGUGAAAGUCCGCGGCUCAACCGUGGGAUUGCCAUUGAAACUGUUGUUCUUGAGUACAGUCGAGGUAGGCGGAAUGUGUAAUGUAGCGGUGAAAUGCAUAGAUAUUACCCAGAACACCGAUUGCGUAGGCAGCUUACCAGCCUGGAACUGACGCUGAUGCACGAAAGCGUGGGGAGCGAACAGGAUUAGAUACCCUGGUAGUCCACGCCGUAAACGAUGAUCACUCGCUGUUGGCAAUAUAGAGUCAGCGGCUGAGCGAAAGCAUUAAGUGAUCCACCUGGGGAGUACGUCGGCAACGAUGAAACUCAAAGGAAUUGACGGGGGCCCGCACAAGCGGUGGAACAUGUGGUUUAAUUCGAUGAUACGCGAGGAACCUUACCUGGGCUUAAAUGUAGCCGGACGAUUCCGGAAACGGGAUUUCCUUAACGGCUGGUUACAAGGUGCUGCAUGGCUGUCGUCAGCUCGUGCCGUGAGGUGUCGGGUUAAGUCCCAUAAUGAGCGCAACCCUUAUUGUUAGUCGCCAGCGGGUAGAGCCGGGGACUCUAAGGAGAGUGCCACUGUAAGGUGUGAGGA
Molecule: ribosomal RNA, 1062 nt
Filed under: uncultured organism
Description: bacterial SSU rRNA
Rfam family: Bacterial small subunit ribosomal RNA
Source: RNAcentral